RNAcentral lists this long non-coding RNA (299 nucleotides) under Sorghum bicolor (sorghum). Its description in RNAcentral is "long non-coding RNA (SBIC_LNC003825)". Lineage: Eukaryota; Viridiplantae; Streptophyta; Magnoliopsida; Poales; Poaceae. The record is from RNAcentral.
GGAACCCCAACCUGGUGCACGCGCAGAGCAUCCUCGCCGUGCUCGGCUUCCAGGUCAUCCUCAUGGGCCUCGUCGAGGGCUUCCGCAUCAACGGCCUCGACGGCGUCGGCGAGGGCAACAACCUCUACCCCGGCGGCCAGUACUUCGACCCCUUGGGCCUCGCCGACGACCCCGUCACCUUCGCCGAGCUCAAGGUCAAGGAGAUCAAGAACGGCCGCCUCGCCAUGUUCUCCAUGUUCGGAUUCUUCGUCCAGGCCAUCGUCACCGGCAAGGGGCCACUCGAGAACCUGCUCGACCAC